Molecule: ribosomal RNA, 496 nt
Filed under: uncultured bacterium
Lineage: Bacteria
Description: partial 16S ribosomal RNA
Rfam family: Bacterial small subunit ribosomal RNA
Source: RNAcentral
GAUGAACGCUGGCGGCGUGCCUAAUACAUGCAAGUCGAGCGAACAGACGAGGAGCUUGCUCCUUCGACGUUAGCGGCGGACGGGUGAGUAACACGUAGGUAACCUACCUAUAAGACUGGGAUAACUUCGGGAAACCGGAGCUAAUACCGGAUAAUAUUUCGAACCGCAUGGUUCGAUAGUGAAAGAUGGCUUUGCUAUCACUUAUAGAUGGACUGCGCCGUAUUAGCUAGUUGGUAAGGUAACGGCUUACCAAGGCAACGAUACGUAGCCGACCUGAGAGGGUGAUCGGCCACACUGGAACUGAGACACGGUCCAGACUCCUACGGGAGGCAGCAGUAGGGAAUCUUCCGCAAUGGGCGAAAGCCUGACGGAGCAACGCCGCGUGAGUGAUGAAGGUCUUCGGAUCGUAAAACUCUGUUAUUAGGGAAGAACAAACGUGUAAGUAACUGUGCACGUCUUGACGGUACCUAAUCAGAAAGCCACGGCUAACUACGUG